RNAcentral lists this long non-coding RNA (528 nucleotides) under Homo sapiens (human). RNAcentral describes it as "HSALNT0052024". Lineage: Eukaryota; Metazoa; Chordata; Mammalia; Primates; Hominidae. The record is from RNAcentral.
GCCAAAGGAGAGAAGACCAGAGAGUGUGGCUGUGCAGGUAAUGCUGCUGCAAGACGCAAUAUUUUACUGACCAAAAUGGUCAGUAGGAACUACCAGAAUUGAAAUGAAGAAAAUUGAUGAAAGCAUAUCUUGCUAGAUUUAUGUACUAUUUUUUUAAAAAAAAAACAUUCCCGUACAAUAUAAAAGGAAAAGCAAGAACAUGCAUGACGAAACAAGUUUAGGUCUUUGAGAAUUUGAGCUACGUUUCCUAUUCUGUUGAAGACACACCGAAACCAGACAAAGGAUCUUAAGGACAGUAUUUCUCUGGAUGUAGUCCAUGGAGACAGAGUGUACAAACCAUGGAGGAUAAAAUGCAGAUCCUAAACCCACUGAAUCAGAGUCUAAGGAAGGGAGUCCACGAGUCUGCAUUUCAACACAAGAGUCUUGUGCAAAUUUAAGUUUCAAAAUCACUGCUAUAGGUCGUUAUAUAAAAUUUACAUGCUAAAUUAAAUAAACUAAGGUACAGCCCUUCUAAGAGCUAUUUGACAC